UGCAAGUCGAACGAUUAAAGCUCUCUUCGGAGAGUGCAUAAAGUGGCGCACGGGUGAGUAACACGUAAGUAAUCUACCCUCGGGUGGGGAAUAACGUCCGGAAACGGACGCUAAUACCGCAUAAUGCAGCGGCACCAUAUGGUGACAGUUGUUAAAGGAGAAAUUCGCCUGGGGAGGAGCUUGCGGCAGAUUAGCUUGUUGGUAGGGUAACGGCCUACCAAGGCGACGAUCUGUAGCCGGUCUAAGAGGACGGUCGGUCACACUGACACUGAAUAACGGGUCAGACUCCUACGGGAGGCAGCAGUCGGGAAUUCUGGGCAAUGGGCGAAAGCCUGACCCAGCAACGCCGCGUGAAGGAUGAAGUAUUUCGGUAUGUAAACUUCGUAAGAAUGGGAAGAAACAAAUGACGGUACCAGGUGUAAGCCCCGGCUAACUACGUGCCAGCAGCCGCGGUAAUACGUAGGGGGCAAGCGUUGUUCGGAUUUACUGGGCGUAAAGGGCGCGUAGGCGGCGGGACAAGUCACUUGUGAAAUCUCUGAGCUUAACUCAGAACGGCCAAGUGAUACUGUCUUGCUAGAGUGCAGAAGGGGCAAUCGGAAUUCUUGGUGUAGCGGUGAAAUGCGUAGAUAUCAAGAGGAACACCUGAGGCGAAGGCGGGUUGCUAGGCUGACACUGACGCUGAGGCGCGAAAGCUAGGGGA
This 700-nucleotide ribosomal RNA is filed under the name uncultured bacterium. RNAcentral's name for it is "bacterial SSU rRNA". It matches the Rfam family "Bacterial small subunit ribosomal RNA", at positions 56 to 767 of the family's 1533-position model. The record is from RNAcentral.